AAAUUGAAGAGUUUGAUCAUGGCUCAGAUUGAACGCUGGCGGCAGGCCUAACACAUGCAAGUCGAACGGUAACAGGAAGCGCUUGCUGCUUCGCUGACGAGUGGCGGACGGGUGAGUAAUGUCUGGGAAACUGCCUGAUGGAGGGGGGAUAACUACUGGAAACGGUAGCUAAUACCGCAUAACGUCGCAAGACCAAAGAGGGGGACCUUCGGGCCUCUUGCCAUCGGAUGUGCCCAGAUGGGAUUAGCUUGUUGGUGGGGUAACGGCUCACC
Molecule: ribosomal RNA, 272 nt
Filed under: Escherichia coli
Lineage: Bacteria; Pseudomonadati; Pseudomonadota; Gammaproteobacteria; Enterobacterales; Enterobacteriaceae
Also listed under: 1 other name
Description: partial 16S ribosomal RNA
Rfam family: Bacterial small subunit ribosomal RNA
Source: RNAcentral